AAAUGAUACCCCGGGGUAGUCCCACGCCGUAAACGAUGAGUGCUAAGUGUUAGGGGGGUUUCCGCCCCCUUAGUGCUGCAGCUAACGCAUUAAGCACUCCGCCUGGGGAGUACGGUCGCAAGACUGAAACUCAAAGGAAUUGACGGGGGCCCGCACAAGCGGUGGAGCAUGUGGUUUAAUUCGAAGCAACGCGAAGAACCUUACCAGGUCUUGACAUCCCAUUGACCGCUAUGGAGACAUAGUUUUCCCUUCGGGGACAGUGGUGACAGAUGGUGCAUGGUUGUCGUCAGCUCGUGUCGUGAGAUGUUGGGUUAAGUCCCGCAACGAGCGCAACCCUUGUUCUUAGUUGCCAUCAUUUAGUUGGGCACUCUAAGGAGACUGCCGGUGACAAACCGGAGGAAGUGGGGAUGACGUCAAAUCAUCAUCGCCCUUAUCGACCGUUGGGACUACACUACGUGCUAACAAGUCGGAACGGUACAAACGGGUUGCCGAACCCGNGGUAGGGGACACGUUAACGUCCGAAUAAACCCGUUCACGAGGUUCGAUUGAGGUCUGACUACUCG
RNAcentral lists this ribosomal RNA (563 nucleotides) under uncultured bacterium. RNAcentral describes it as "bacterial SSU rRNA". It matches the Rfam family "Bacterial small subunit ribosomal RNA", at positions 777 to 1314 of the family's 1533-position model. The record is from RNAcentral.